AUUGAACGCUGGCGGCAGGCCUAACACAUGCAAGUCGAGCGAGCGGCGGACGGGUGAGUAAUGUCUGGGAAACUGCCUGAUGGAGGGGGAUAACUACUGGAAACGGUAGCUAAUACCGCAUACCAUCAGAUGACCCCAUAUGGGAUUAGCUUGUAGGGGGGGUAAUGGCUCACCGAGGCGACGAUCCCUAGCUGGUCUGAGAGGAUGACCAGUCACACUGGAACUGAGACACGGGCAAGAAUCCGACGGGAGGCAGCAGGGGGGAAUAUUGCACAAUGGGCGCAAGCCUGAUGCAGCCAUGCCGCGUGUAUGAAGAAGGCCUUCGGGUUGUAAAGCACGUUCAGUCGGGAGGCGUUACUGACAGAAGAAGCACCGGCUAACUCCGUGCCAGCAGCCGCGGUAAUAC
This 406-nucleotide ribosomal RNA is filed under the name uncultured bacterium. RNAcentral's name for it is "partial 16S ribosomal RNA". It matches the Rfam family "Bacterial small subunit ribosomal RNA", at positions 29 to 526 of the family's 1533-position model. The record is from RNAcentral.